AGUGAACGCUGGCGGUAGGCCUAACACAUGCAAGUCGAACGGCAGCACAGUAAGAGCUUGCUCUUACGGGUGGCGAGUGGCGGACGGGUGAGGAAUACAUCGGAAUCUACUUUUUCGUGGGGGAUAACGUAGGGAAACUUACGCUAAUACCGCAUACGACCUACGGGUGAAUGCAGGGGAUCUUCGGACCUUGCGUGAUUGAAUGAGCCGAUGUCGGAUUAGCUAGUUGGCGGGGUAAAGGCCCACCAAGGCGACGAUCCGUAGCUGGUCUGAGAGGAUGAUCGGCCACACUGGAACUGAGACACGGUCCAGACUCCUACGGGAGGCAGCAGUAGGGAAUAUUGGGCAAUGGGCGCAAGCCUGAUCCAGCCAUACCGCGUGGGUGAAGAAGGCCUUCGGGUUGUAAAGCCCUUUUGUUGGGAAAGAAAAGCAGCGGGUUAAUACCCCGAUGUUCUGACGGUACCCAAAGAGAAAGCACCGGCUAACUACGUG
This 492-nucleotide ribosomal RNA is filed under the name uncultured bacterium. RNAcentral's name for it is "partial 16S ribosomal RNA". It matches the Rfam family "Bacterial small subunit ribosomal RNA", at positions 29 to 507 of the family's 1533-position model. The record is from RNAcentral.